Molecule: ribosomal RNA, 480 nt
Filed under: Methylophaga sp. M05A53
Lineage: Bacteria; Pseudomonadati; Pseudomonadota; Gammaproteobacteria; Thiotrichales; Piscirickettsiaceae
Description: bacterial SSU rRNA
Rfam family: Bacterial small subunit ribosomal RNA
Source: RNAcentral
UGAAUUGACGGGGGCCCGCCCAAGCGGUGGAGCAUGUGGUUUAAUUGGAUGCAACGGGAAGAACCUUACCUGCCCUUGACAUGCACGGAACUUUCCAGAGAUGGAUUGGUGCCUUCGGGAACCGUGACCCAGGUGCUGCAUGGCGGUCGUCAGCUCGUGUCGUGAGAUGUUGGGUUAAUUCCCGCAACGAGCGCAACCCCUGUCCUUAUUUGCCACCAUUAAGUUGGGCACUCUAAGGAGACUGCCGGUGACAAACCGGAGGAAGGUGGGGAUGACGUCAAGUCAUCAUGGCCCUUAUGGCCUGGGCUACACACGUGCUACAAUGGCAAGUACAGAGGGUUGCGAACUCGCGAGGGGGAGCUAAUCCCAUAAAGCCUAUCGUAGUCCGGAUUGGAGUCUGCAACUCGACUCCGUGAAGUCGGAAUCGCUAGUAAUCGCGGAUCAGAAUGCCGCGGUGAAUACGUUCCCGGGCCUUGUACA